RNAcentral lists this ribosomal RNA (301 nucleotides) under uncultured bacterium. RNAcentral describes it as "partial 16S ribosomal RNA". It matches the Rfam family "Bacterial small subunit ribosomal RNA", at positions 509 to 807 of the family's 1533-position model. The record is from RNAcentral.
CAGCCGCCACGGUAAUACGUAGGGUGCAAGCGUUAAUCGGAAUUACUGGGCGUAAAGCGUGCGCAGGCGGUUUGUUAAGACAGAUGUGAAAUCCCCGGGCUCAACCUGGGAACUGCAUUUGUGACUGGCAAGCUAGAGUGUGGCAGAGGGGGGUGGAAUUCCGCGUGUAGCAGUGAAAUGCGUAGAUAUGCGGAGGAACACCGAUGGCGAAGGCAGCCCCCUGGGCCAACACUGACGCUCAUGCACGAAAGCGUGGGGAGCAAACAGGAUUAGAUACCCCAGUAGUCCCUGUCUCUUAUAC